This 142-nucleotide small RNA is filed under the name Mytilus galloprovincialis (Mediterranean mussel). The record is from RNAcentral. Lineage: Eukaryota; Metazoa; Mollusca; Bivalvia; Mytilida; Mytilidae.
CAUAUUUUUAUACGUUCUCAACCUGCUGGAGAUAAAUCUUAUCACCCUUUCCAUAGCUUAUAUAUAUAUAUAUAUAUAUAUAUAUAUAUAUAUAUAUAUAUAUAUAUAUAUAUCCAGCAGGUUGAGAACGUAUAAAAAUAUG